RNAcentral lists this ribosomal RNA (508 nucleotides) under uncultured bacterium. Its description in RNAcentral is "partial 16S ribosomal RNA". It matches the Rfam family "Bacterial small subunit ribosomal RNA", at positions 30 to 507 of the family's 1533-position model. The record is from RNAcentral.
CGAACGCUGGCGGCGUGCUUAACACAUGCAAGUCGAACGAAGAGCGACGGAAGCUUGCUUCUAUCAAUCUUAGUGGCGAACGGGUGAGUAACGCGUAAUCAACCUGCCCUUCAGAGGGGGACAACAGUUGGAAACGACUGCUAAUACCGCAUACGAUCUAACCUCGGCAUCGAGGAUAGAUGAAAGGUGGCCUCUACAUGUAAGCUAUCACUGAAGGAGGGGAUUGCGUCUGAUUAGCUAGUUGGAGGGGUAACGGCCCACCAAGGCGAUGAUCAGUAGCCGGUCUGAGAGGAUGAACGGCCACAUUGGGACUGAGACACGGCCCAGACUCCUACGGGAGGCAGCAGUGGGGAAUCUUCCGCAAUGGACGAAAGUCUGACGGAGCAACGCCGCGUGAGUGAUGACGGCCUUCGGGUUGUAAAGCUCUGUUAAUCGGGACGAAAGGCCUUCUUGCGAAUAGUGAGAAGGAUUGACGGUACCGGAAUAGAAAGCCACGGCUAACUACGUG